Molecule: small nuclear RNA, 141 nt
Filed under: Pan troglodytes (chimpanzee)
Lineage: Eukaryota; Metazoa; Chordata; Mammalia; Primates; Hominidae
Source: RNAcentral
UUGUGCCACUGCACUCCAGCCUGGGCGACAGAGCAGGACUCCGUCUCAAAAAAAAAAGAAAAAAUUGGAAUGAUACAGAGAAGAUUGGCAUGGUCCCUGUGCAAGGAUGACAUGCAAAUUUGUAAAGUGUUCCAUAAAAAA